GACGAACGCUGGCGGCGUGCUUAACACAUGCAAGUCGAGCGGUAAGGCCCUUUCGGGGGUACACGAGCGGCGAACGGGUGAGUAACACGUGGGUGACCUGCCCUCAGCUCUGGGAUAAGCCUGGGAAACCGGGUCUAAUACCGGAUAUGACUCCAUGACGCAUGUUGUGGGGUGGAAAGCCUUGUGCGGCUGAGGAUGGGCCCGCGGCCUAUCAGCUUGUUGGUGGGGUGAUGGCCUACCAAGGCGACGACGGGUAGCCGGCCUGAGAGGGCGACCGGCCACACUGGGACUGAGACACGGCCCAGACUCCUACGGGAGGCAGCAGUGGGGAAUCUUGCGCAAUGGGCGAAAGCCUGACGCAGCGACGCCGCGUGAGUGAUGAAGGCCUUAGGGUUGUAAAGCUCUUUUACCCGGGAAGAUAAUGACGGUACCGGGAGAAUAAGCCCCGGCUAACUUCGUGCCAGCAGCCGC
RNAcentral lists this ribosomal RNA (471 nucleotides) under uncultured bacterium. RNAcentral's name for it is "bacterial SSU rRNA". It matches the Rfam family "Bacterial small subunit ribosomal RNA", at positions 28 to 518 of the family's 1533-position model. The record is from RNAcentral.